AGAAUCAACGCUGGCGGCGUGCCUAACACAUGCAAGUCGCACGAGAAAGGGACUUCGGUCCUGAGUAAAGUGGCGCACGGGUGAGUAACACGUGAAUCAUCUACCUCCGAGUGGGGAAUAACCUAGAGAAAUCUGGGCUAAUACCGCAUAACACUUACGAGUCAAAGCAGCAAUGCGCUUGGAGAGGAGUUCGCGGCCGAUUAGUUAGUUGGCGGGGUAAUGGCCCACCAAGACGAUGAUCGGUA
Molecule: ribosomal RNA, 245 nt
Filed under: uncultured bacterium
Lineage: Bacteria
Description: partial small subunit ribosomal RNA
Rfam family: Bacterial small subunit ribosomal RNA
Source: RNAcentral